This 498-nucleotide ribosomal RNA is filed under the name uncultured bacterium. RNAcentral's name for it is "partial 16S ribosomal RNA". It matches the Rfam family "Bacterial small subunit ribosomal RNA", at positions 30 to 523 of the family's 1533-position model. The record is from RNAcentral.
AUUGAACGCUGGCGGCAUGCCUUACACAUGCAAGUCGAACGGUAACAGGUCUUCGGAUGCUGACGAGUGGCGAACGGGUGAGUAAUACAUCGGAACGUGCCUAGUAGUGGGGGAUAACUACUCGAAAGAGUGGCUAAUACCGCAUGAGAUCUACGGAUGAAAGCAGGGGAUCGCAAGACCUUGUGCUACUAGAGCGGCCGAUGGCAGAUUAGGUAGCGGGUGGGAUAAAAGCUUACCAAGCCGACGAUCUGUAGCUGGUCUAAGAGGACGAUCAGACACACUAGGACGGAGAGACAGACCAGAAUCCAACGGGUGGCAGGAGUGGGGAAUUUUGGAUGAUGGGCGCAAGCCUGAGCCAGCAAUGCCGCGUGCAGGAUGAAGGCCAUCUGGUUGUAAGCAGCUUUUGGACGGAGCGAAAAGCCCUAGAUUAAUACCCUGGGGUCAUGACGGUACCGUAAGAAUAAGCACCGGCUAACUACGUGCCAGCCGCCGCCGUAA